RNAcentral lists this long non-coding RNA (281 nucleotides) under Helianthus annuus (common sunflower). RNAcentral's name for it is "sRNA HanXRQr2_Chr04g0139591". The record is from RNAcentral. Lineage: Eukaryota; Viridiplantae; Streptophyta; Magnoliopsida; Asterales; Asteraceae.
AAUGGUGUUCCUUUUUGUUGAGCAGAAGAUCGAUGACAAGUUAUAUGUGUCAACAUCUGUUGUAUGUAUUCUUGUAGAGAAGGUAGGUCAAGCUAUAAGCCAGGCUGCAUGAGCAUUCUCACUAGUGAAGCGAGGUCCCAUCAUUAGGUGGUUCAGUUGUUGAAUUGUAUUCAUAUUACCUAUUCGAGUUUGAUGUUAUAUGUUUAAUAAAAUGCCGUUAUUGAAUUGUAUCCAUGUUACCUAUUCGGGUAAAUGCUAUUGUGAAAACUGGCUAUACCCGC